This 499-nucleotide ribosomal RNA is filed under the name uncultured bacterium. RNAcentral describes it as "partial 16S ribosomal RNA". It matches the Rfam family "Bacterial small subunit ribosomal RNA", at positions 28 to 507 of the family's 1533-position model. The record is from RNAcentral.
GAUGAACGCUGGCGGCGUGCCUAAUACAUGCAAGUCGAGCGAACAGACGAGAGUGCUUGCACUCUCUGACGUUCGCGGCGGACGGGAGAGUAACACGUGGGUAACCUAUCUAUAAGACGGGGAUAACCUCGGGAAACCGGCGCUAAUCCCGGAUAAUAUUUAGCUUCGCAUGAAGCAAUAGUAAGAGACGGUUCUGCUGUCACUUAUAGAUAGACCCGCGGUGUAUUAGCUAGUUGGUGAGGUAACGGCUCACCAAGGCAACGAUGCAUAGCCGACCUGAGAGGGUGAUCGGCCACACUGGGACUGAGACACGGCCCAGACUCCUACGGGAGGCAGCAGUAGGGAGUCUUCCGCAAUGGGCGAAAGUCUGACGGAGCAAUGCCGCGUGAGUGAAGAAGGUUUUCGGAUCGUAAAACUCUGUUGUAAGGGAAGAACAAGUACGUUAGUAACUGAACGUACCUUGACGGUACCUUACCAGAAAGCCACGGCUAACUACGUG